RNAcentral lists this ribosomal RNA (274 nucleotides) under uncultured bacterium. RNAcentral's name for it is "partial 16S ribosomal RNA". It matches the Rfam family "Bacterial small subunit ribosomal RNA", at positions 523 to 796 of the family's 1533-position model. The record is from RNAcentral.
CUACGAAAGGUGCAAGCGUUGUUCGGAUUUACUGGGCGUAAAGAGAGUGUAGGUUGUUUAUUAAGUCGGAUGUGAUAUCCCGGGGCUCAACCUCGGAACUGCAUUCGAUACUGGUAGACUAGAGUUCGGGAGGGGUAAGCGGAAUUCCGUGUGUAGCAGUGAAAUGCGUAGAUAUACGGAGGAACACCUGAGGCGAAGGCGGCUUACUGGACCGAUACUGACACUGAGACUCGAAAGCGUGGGUAGCAAACAGGAUUAGAAACCCUAGUAGUCC